This 357-nucleotide ribosomal RNA is filed under the name uncultured bacterium. Its description in RNAcentral is "SSU rRNA". It matches the Rfam family "Bacterial small subunit ribosomal RNA", at positions 26 to 376 of the family's 1533-position model. The record is from RNAcentral.
AGAACGAACGCUGGCGGCGUGGAUAAGACAUGCAAGUCGAACGCGACUUAUUGAGUUAGCAAUAACUUGGUAAGUUGAGUGGCGAAAGGGUGCGUAACACGUGGGAAUUUACCGAGAAGUGGGGAAUAGCUCGACGAAAGUCGAAUUAAUACCGCAUAUGAUCGCAAGAUCAAAGCCGGGGACCGCAAGGCCUGGCGCUUUUUGAGAAGCCCGCGGCCCAUCAGCUAGUUGGCGGGGUAAAAGCCCACCAAGGCUAUGACGGGUAGCUGGUCUGAGAGGACGACCAGCCACACUGGAACUGAGACACGGUCCAGACACCUACGGGUGGCAGCAGUCGAGAAUUUUUUCACAAUGGAC